Molecule: unclassified non-coding RNA, 502 nt
Filed under: Hevea brasiliensis (rubber tree)
Lineage: Eukaryota; Viridiplantae; Streptophyta; Magnoliopsida; Malpighiales; Euphorbiaceae
Source: RNAcentral
GUUGGGGUGGGGCGGGGGGUGGGGUUGUUGUGUGCGGGGGGUGAGAGAGAGAGGGAGUGGUGAAUGGGAAAUUAAGGAUCUUGGGAUAGUUCAGCUUUCAAAGGUCAAAACCAAAUAAAAUCAAAAUUUAGAGUAACCAAACCAAAUAGACAAAACAACAUUUGUUUAGUUUGGUAAUUAAGUUUUCACCAUAUAAUGCUUACCCCUAGAAAGAACAUAGACAACUUCGAUAACAAUUAUAAGCAGGGAUGGGAAAUCUCCUUCUAUAGCCACUUGAUUUAAUUGAACCUCAGCAGCGCAUAAUCAUCAAAAUUUAACAAAAUUAGAUUAAUUUUCUUAGAAACCAGGAAACUUUGUUUGCUAAUCCUACAGCAUUCUUAAUUUGCUUUUGCAUAAGUCUUCUCCAUGUAAGACACACUCAUCACAAAUUUUAACAUUCCAUCUUAUAGUCUGAUAGACUCCAAAGCAAUGUUCUGUACCUACAGUUCACCAAGUCAAUCUG